RNAcentral lists this ribosomal RNA (253 nucleotides) under uncultured bacterium. Its description in RNAcentral is "partial 16S ribosomal RNA". It matches the Rfam family "Bacterial small subunit ribosomal RNA", at positions 524 to 776 of the family's 1533-position model. The record is from RNAcentral.
UACGAAGGGGGCUAGCGUUGCUCGGAAUUACUGGGCGUAAAGGGCGCGUAGGCGGAUACUUAAGUCGGGGGUGAAAGCCCGGGGCUCAACCUCGGAAUUGCCUUCGAUACUGGAUAUCUUGAGUUCGGGAGAGGUAAGUGGAACUCCGAGUGUAGAGGUGAAAUUCGUAGAUAUUCGGAAGAACACCAGUGGCGAAGGCGACUUACUGGCCCGAUACUGACGCUGAAACACGAAAGCGUGGGGAGCAAACAGG